This 543-nucleotide ribosomal RNA is filed under the name Sporothrix sp. Its description in RNAcentral is "LSU rRNA". It matches the Rfam family "Eukaryotic large subunit ribosomal RNA", at positions 77 to 644 of the family's 3401-position model. Lineage: Eukaryota; Fungi; Ascomycota; Sordariomycetes; Ophiostomatales; Ophiostomataceae. The record is from RNAcentral.
GCCCCAGUAACGGCGAGUGAAGCGGCAACAGCUCAAAUUUGAAAUCUGGCCCCCCGGCCCGAGUUGUAAUUUGGAGAGGAUGCUUCUGGCGCGGCGCCGUCCGAGUUCCUUGGAACAGGACGCCACAGAGGGUGAGAGCCCCGUACGGACGGACGCCUAGCCUCUACGAAGCUCCUUCGACGAGUCGAGUAGUUUGGGAAUGCUGCUCAAAAUGGGAGGUAAAUUUCUUCUAAAGCUAAAUACCGGCCAGAGACCGAUAGCGCACAAGUAGAGUGAUCGAAAGAUGAAAAGCACUUUGAAAAGAGGGUUAAAAAGUACGUGAAAUUGUUGAAAGGGAAGCGCCUGUGACCAGACUUGCGCCCCGCGGACCACCCGGCGUUCUCGCCGGUGCACUCCGCGGGGUGCAGGCCAGCAUCGGUUCUCCCAGGGGGACAAAGGCCGCGGGAACGUAGCUCCUCCGGGAGUGUUAUAGCCCGCGGCGGCAUGCCCCUGGGGGGACCGAGGACCGCGCUUCGGCAAGGAUGCUGGCGUAAUGGUCACCAG